AGUGAACGCUGGCGGUAGGCCUAACACAUGCAAGUCGAACGGCAGCACAGUAAGAGCUUGCUCUUACGGGUGGCGAGUGGCGGACGGGUGAGGAAUACAUCGGAAUCUACUUUUUCGUGGGGGAUAACGUAGGGAAACUUACGCUAAUACAGCAUACGACCUACGGGUGAAAGCAGGGGAUCUUCGGACCUUGCGCGAUUGAAUGAGCCGAUGUCGGAUUAGCUAGUUGGCGGGGUAAAGGCCCACCAAGGCGACGAUCCGUAGCUGGUCUGAGAGGAUGAUCAGCCACACUGGAACGGAGACACGGUCCAGACUCCUACGGUAGGCAGCAGUGGGGAAUAUUGGACAAUGGGCGCAAGCCUGAUCCAGCCAUACCGCGUGGGUGAAGAAAGCCUUCGGGUUGUAAAGCCCUUUUGUUGGGAAAGAAAAGCAGCAGGUUAAUACCCCGCUGUUCUGACGGUACCCAAAGAAUAAGCACCGGCUAACUUCGUG
This 492-nucleotide ribosomal RNA is filed under the name uncultured bacterium. Its description in RNAcentral is "partial 16S ribosomal RNA". It matches the Rfam family "Bacterial small subunit ribosomal RNA", at positions 29 to 507 of the family's 1533-position model. The record is from RNAcentral.